RNAcentral lists this ribosomal RNA (397 nucleotides) under uncultured bacterium. RNAcentral describes it as "partial 16S ribosomal RNA". It matches the Rfam family "Bacterial small subunit ribosomal RNA", at positions 523 to 918 of the family's 1533-position model. The record is from RNAcentral.
AUACGUAGGUGGCAAGCGUUGUCCGGAUUUACUGGGCGUAAAGGGCGUGUAGGCGGAGAUGCAAGUCAGGAGUGAAAUCUAGGGGCUCAACCCCUAAACUGCUUUUGAAACUGUAUCCCUUGAGUAUCGGAGAGGCAGGCGGAAUUCCUAGUGUAGCGGUGAAAUGCGUAGAUAUUAGGAGGAACACCAGUGGCGAAGGCGGACUGCUAGACGACAACUGUCGCUGAGGCGCGAAAGCGUGGGGAGCGAACAGGAGUAGAUACCCUGGUAGGCCACGCGGUAAACGAUGAAUGCUAGGGGUUGUGGGUAUCGACCCCUGCAGUGCCGGAGUCAACACAAUAAGCAUUCCGCCUGGGGAGUACGGCCGCAAGGUUGAAACUCAAAUGAAUUGACGGGG